RNAcentral lists this unclassified non-coding RNA (250 nucleotides) under plant metagenome. Its description in RNAcentral is "partial contains small subunit ribosomal RNA, internal transcribed spacer 1, and 5.8S ribosomal RNA". The record is from RNAcentral.
GUAGGUGAACCUGCGGAAGGAUCAUUAAAGAGUGCCGGACGGGACAAGCUACCGUCCGACUCCCAACCCCAGUGCAAGCCUCACCGAGUUGCUUUGGCGGCCCGCGCGCGCGCGCCGGUGGCCCCGUACUCUGGGGCCCUCGACCGCCCGCUCGUCGGUCCGCCGGGGGAUCGAACCGAAACUCAGCUGCGGCUCGGCCUCGCGGUCGGGUCCCGAAACGUCUGAAGCGGUAGUCCACUUGACGUGGAAG